CCUACGGGUGGCAGCAGUGGGGAAUAUUGGACAAUGGGCGAAAGCCUGAUCCAGCCAUGCCGCGUGUGUGAAGAAGGCCUUCGGGUUGUAAAGCACUUUCAGUGGGGAAGAAAGCCUUGGGGCUAAUACCCUCGAGGAAGGACAUCACCCACAGAAGAAGCACCGGCUAACUCCGUGCCAGCAGCCGCGGUAAUACGGAGGGUACGAGCGUUAAUCGGAAUUACUGGGCGUAAAGCGCGCGUAGGCGGUCUGAUAAGCCGGUUGUGAAAGCCCCGGGCUCAACCUGGGAACGGCAUCCGGAACUGUCAGGCUAGAGUGCAGGAGAGGAAGGUAGAAUUCCCGGUGUAGCAGUGAAAUGCGUAGAGAUCGGGAGGAAUACCAGUGGCGAAGGCGGCCUUCUGGACUGACACUGACGCUGAGGUGCGAAAGCGUGGGUAGCAAACAGGAUUAGAUACCCGAGUAGUC
RNAcentral lists this ribosomal RNA (465 nucleotides) under Vreelandella stevensii. RNAcentral's name for it is "partial 16S ribosomal RNA". It matches the Rfam family "Bacterial small subunit ribosomal RNA", at positions 338 to 795 of the family's 1533-position model. Lineage: Bacteria; Pseudomonadati; Pseudomonadota; Gammaproteobacteria; Oceanospirillales; Halomonadaceae. The record is from RNAcentral.